Molecule: ribosomal RNA, 391 nt
Filed under: uncultured bacterium
Lineage: Bacteria
Description: bacterial SSU rRNA
Rfam family: Bacterial small subunit ribosomal RNA
Source: RNAcentral
AGCGAACGUUUGCGGCGGGCUUAGCACAUGCAAGUCGAACGGGCUGUUCCUUCGGGGGCAGUCAGUGGCGCACGGGUGCGUAACACGUAGGUAAUCAACCCUCUGGUUGGGGAUAACACUUCGAAAGGAGUGCUAAUACCCGGUAUGGCGCAGCGGUCUUCGGAUCGCGGCGAGAAAGACCCGCAAGGGUUGCCAGAGGACGAGCCUGCGGCCCAUCAGCUAGUUGGCGAGGUAACGGCUCACCAAGGCGAAGACGGGUAGCUGGUCUGAGAGGAUGAUCAGCCACACUGGAACUGAGACACGGUCCAGACUCCUACGGGAGGCAGCAGUGGGGAAUAUUGCGCAAUGGGCGAAAGCCUGACGCAGCCACGCCGCGUGAGCGAUGAAGGCC